UAAUAUUUCAUUGAUGUACAUAGUUAGUUUUACCAAUUAAACUUCAUAUGGCAGCCCACACGAAUUGUGCAAUGAAUUAUCUCUAGUCAGUUUUUAAUAAAUUGGUCUAACAAAUAGUUCAAAAACAUUAACUUUUAAUGUUUAAAUCUCCCACAACACCAAUGUCCUAUAUUAUGUUAGCUAGGAAACUAGGCCAUAGAAAAUAAGUAAGAGGGGUGGCAAAAGAUGGUGCCAGCAGUCGCGGUUAUACCAAUACCCCAAGCUAAUUUUAUCAAACCGGAGUAGUCUUUCUACUUUCUAGACCACAAAAUUAACUUUUAGCGUAAUAAACAAAUUAUAACUAAACCCUACCCGGUCAUAAUCAGACUACUCCAACAAACCAUGACCUCAGAACUCGGAUUAGAUACCCGACUACUGUAUGGCUCAACACAUAAAAGAAUACUACGAGCGAAAGCUUAAACCUCAAACAAUGUGGCGGUGCUUUACUCCUCAUCAGGGGAUCCUGUGGCUUAAUUCGAUAAUCCACGAAAAUCUUAGCUAUUCUUGUUCUACAGCUUGUGUAUGGCCGUUUAUGCUUGCUCACAGAAGAAACAAAAGGAAGCAAUAGGGCUAUUUACCCCAUAAUUCAGGUGACAUACAGCCUAUGAAUAGCAGAUCCAUGGGAUACAAAUAAACAUACUACCAAAUUUAAAGCUCCAAACUUUAAUGAAGGAGGACUUGAAAGUAAGAUUUUAAUUCAUCAAACAAAUCUGAACAAGAACUAAAGCGCGCACAAAUCGCCCGUCACUCCGACAAUAAAGUGGGAUAAGUCGUAACACAGUAGGGGUAAUGGAAAUUGCCCCUAUAAAAAU
Molecule: non-coding RNA, 851 nt
Filed under: Anodonta nuttalliana
Lineage: Eukaryota; Metazoa; Mollusca; Bivalvia; Unionida; Unionidae
Source: RNAcentral